AAUAGGAUGGCUGAGAUCAAGCAGAAGACUGUAAAUCUUCCAACGAAAAUCAAUAUUUUCUCCUAUUA
Molecule: transfer RNA, 68 nt
Filed under: Scoloplos cf. armiger CB-2006
Lineage: Eukaryota; Metazoa; Annelida; Polychaeta; Orbiniidae
Description: tRNA-Tyr
Source: RNAcentral